This 253-nucleotide ribosomal RNA is filed under the name uncultured bacterium. RNAcentral's name for it is "partial 16S ribosomal RNA". It matches the Rfam family "Bacterial small subunit ribosomal RNA", at positions 524 to 776 of the family's 1533-position model. The record is from RNAcentral.
UACAGAGGUCCCAAGCGUUGUUCGGAUUCACUGGGCGUAAAGGGUGCGUAGGUGGCCAGGUAAGUUCGGUGUGAAAGCUCGGAGCUUAACUCCGAAAUGGCAUUGAAUACUAUCUGGCUAGAGGGUCGGAGGGGAGACUGGAAUUCUCGGUGUAGCAGUGAAAUGCGUAGAUAUCGAGAGGAACACCAGUGGCGAAGGCGAGUCUCUGGACGACACCUGACACUGAGGCACGAAAGCCAGGGGAGCAAACAGG